UUUAUACUCCCUCCAUACAAAAAUACUUGUCAUCAAAAAUGGAUAAAAAGAGAUGUAUCUAAAACUAAAAUACGUCUAGAUACAUUUCCUUUUAUCCAUUUUGAUGACAAGUAUUUCCGGACGGAGGGAGUAUUUG
Molecule: non-coding RNA, 136 nt
Organism: Triticum aestivum (bread wheat)
Lineage: Eukaryota; Viridiplantae; Streptophyta; Magnoliopsida; Poales; Poaceae
Source: Rfam